CAGUAGCAAGGAACAUAUUUGAAUUAUUCCUACAAGAGACCCCAUUAAUGUCAUUUUUUCCUGCAUAUUUUGACGACGUUUGGGACAAUCACUUACUUAAGAGACCCCAUUAGUGUCAUUAUUCCAGCAUAUUUUGACUACGUUUGGGACAAUCACUCACUUAAGAUAAACGCUGAAUUCAUGCGGAUAACAACAGUGCCACUCCUGACCAAGUUCUUUGGGCAGCUGGAUAGAUACACUGCAAACCUGCAUAAGGUUUUCAAAAGCAAAGGAGGUGCUUCUUGACAGAAGAUAUCACGCAUAAUGGCAAUUGCU
Non-coding RNA from Paramisgurnus dabryanus, 315 nucleotides. Lineage: Eukaryota; Metazoa; Chordata; Actinopteri; Cypriniformes; Cobitidae. The record is from RefSeq and is a predicted model, not a curated record.